Molecule: long non-coding RNA, 1176 nt
Filed under: Coffea arabica (coffee)
Lineage: Eukaryota; Viridiplantae; Streptophyta; Magnoliopsida; Gentianales; Rubiaceae
Description: long non-coding RNA (CARA_LNC007409)
Source: RNAcentral
CAUAAUAAAUCUCAUAACGAGGUGUAGAUGAACUCACAAAGCAAGGCUUAGAUAGAGGUGACAUGCGGUGCCGAGUACAUAGCUUAAAACCAGAAGUCUAUAUGAAACCUAACCACACUUCGCUGGACCAAGAUCCUUCUUUCUACUAAUGUUGAACCUUCGUCUUUGUGCUAUUCUAGUUGGCUAGCUCGGCUCUGACGAGGCUCGAACCUAUAGUUUCCGCCUUGGCAAGACUGACUGAUUGAACUACAAUCCCAGGAAAAUUAGGUAUACAGAUAACUCCAAGCUGAAUCUCCUUAAGGGGUAAAUAGCUCGAUUGGAAGAGUCACUUUAAGUAAGAAGAAGAAAACUCUUUUUAACUCAAGUUUGAUUGAGCACACCUAUAUACAGCAACUCCUAGCUCUAAUAGCUUCAGCACCUCUGCAAUCAGCUUCGCUUCAUCUCUAUCUUGAGAUUUGACAAAUGAUUCGGAUUCUUCAGAUGAAACAGCCUUACCUUUGGUUCUGGAUAAACUGGUAUGUUGCUUUGUGACUUGUGGGAGAGGAUAGGAUGAUUCCUAAAAACUACCUACCUAUGCUAGUGAUGAAAAUCAUUCCUUUCCUCCCCUGAGCUAAGGGAUGGCAGCAUCAUUUGAAUAUGGUUGCAUCUACUUGUGCUACCACUUUGACUUUGACGAAUGAAAGAUCGACCCGCUCACUCAAUCCCCGAAAGCCAUGAUUGGUUUAUGUUUCUUUUAAAGUGUACACUUGUCGAUGGGCCUCGAUCAAGAGAGGCGUUUAUGGUGCUUGAUUGGGAAGUGCACUUUAUUCUCGUUUGAUUUGUCUACGGCGGAUAGAUUACUUGUUCUGUCCCAAACCUUUCCUUUCUAUUUCUCAGUAAGCGGACUGUAGGAGCAUUGGGGGGGGCAUUGUCUACUUUUGACUCAAUAAGAGGAGUCUUCUAGCUCUAUAAAGAGCCCAAGGACAACAAUAGGAAGACUAAGAAGAAUAAGAAAAGGAGUUAUGGAACGUAUACUAAAGCAAAAGAACAUUAUUGAAACUUAGCCAGAAGGCUAGCUUUUCGAAUAAGAUAUAGGCAGGAAAGUUGUUCUUUGAGUGAAGAGUUUCAAAUGAUCAAGACAUAAGAAAGGGCUACUUGCCUAACUCUUUAGAACUGGUUUCAUAUUGGUGUGGAACU